RNAcentral lists this transfer-messenger RNA (348 nucleotides) under bovine gut metagenome. It matches the Rfam family "transfer-messenger RNA". From Rfam's summary of the family: Bacterial tmRNA, also known as 10Sa RNA or SsrA, is named for its dual tRNA and mRNA-like properties. Its role is to liberate the mRNA from a stalled ribosome. To accomplish this part of the tmRNA is used as a reading frame that ends in a translation stop signal. The record is from RNAcentral.
GGGGCCGUAUUUGGUUUCGACGGGGAUGCGGAGGGGCAGAGAAGCGAGCGGCGGCCCUGUACCGCCUGACAACGGGAAAAAACAAUAACUGACAAUACCAAUAACAUGGUUUUCGCCGCUUAAGCGGCGAUCGUCGACCCUGAGCGUCCUGCCGCGCAGGUCAUCGACGUCAUAGUAGCAGGGAACCAGCUGCCUUAAGCUUUGCGGGCGGCCGGACUUUAUGAAGCUACUGAUGCCCGUAUCCCGUCUGUGGGAGGCGGGCGGAGGGAAUGUCAAUACGCAGACUGCGCUCGGAGAUGCUCUGUUUUUCUGGUCUUCGGACAGGGGUUCGACCCCCCUCGGCUCCAC